Molecule: ribosomal RNA, 468 nt
Filed under: uncultured bacterium
Lineage: Bacteria
Description: partial 16S ribosomal RNA
Rfam family: Bacterial small subunit ribosomal RNA
Source: RNAcentral
GACGAACGCUGGCGGCGUGCUUAACACAUGCAAGUCGAACGGAAAUGCCCUUCUUUUGUGGGGUGCUCGAGUGGCGAACGGGUGAGUAACACGUGAGUAACCUGCCCUUGACUUUUGGAUAACUUCAGGAAACUGGGGCUAAUACCGGUUUGUAGCUCCUGCUGCAUUGUUGGUGUUGGAAAGUUUCGGCGGUUGGGGAUGGACUCGCGGCUUAUCAGCUUGUUGGUGGGGUAGUGGCUUACCAAGGCUUUGAAGGGUAGCCGGCCUGAGAGGGUGACCGGCCAAAUGGGGACUGAGAUACGGCCCAGACUCCUAAGGGAGGCAGCAGUGGGGAAUAUUGCACAAUGGGCGGAAGCCUGAUGCAGCAACGCCGCGUGCGGGAUGACGGACUUCGGGUUGUAAACCGCUUUCGCCUGUGACGAAGCGUGAGUGACGGUAAUGGGUAAAGAAGCACCGGCUAACUACGUG